UAGGAGUCUGCCUGUACCGGGGUUCAGCCUGGCUCUACCACCAGCUGUGUGAUCCUGGGCAAGUCAUCAGUUAGCUUUGCUUCUGUGUCCUCCUCUGCAAAACAAAGAUAAGGAUAAAGCGUCCCCCUAGGGUUGUUGUGAGGAUCAAAUAAGUUAAAAUAUAUAAAGCCUUUAGGAGGGUGCCUGGCACACAGGAGGGUCUCUAUAAGUGUUUCCUAUUUUAAACCCUGUUCCUCACUGCCAUCCUGAACUCUUUUGUACAACACACCAGUUUCUCAGAAAUAGAAGCACAUACUCUGAAUAACUGGCCAUUUACUCAUCCCAUUAUUCCCUCGCUUGAUGUCCCCACGAAAUUAAGUCCCCACAAAGCUCAAGGCUCUCUGGGGUCUGCACUGUCACACAUAGUGAUGAAUGAGGUCCCUAUGGCUUCCAACUUGAUACUUCUGCUCAGACUUCCCCCCAGAGAUCCGUAAGUCACUUUAUUUCCUUUUUAAAGUACACACAAGGUGAUUUGAGGAAACAGAAGCACAGAAUCAUUUUCCCACUUCACUGGUUUUUUGAAAGAGUUAAGUGGUGUGAGGUUCCUGAUUUGUACCUAUUCUUUUCCUAUGUUUUUUUCUUCCCUUUGCCUCAUAUCCCAGCCAGAGCAAGAACAUAGGUGCUUUCUCAAGGAAACUCAAAUAACAUAUUAUCACCAUAAGAAUCCUCAUGCAAGAAUCAUUGCAAAAAUCAUUAAGUCUCAGUAUAGAAGUCCAUUAAAGGAAACUUCAUUUGGGAAACAUAGACUUUAACAGAAAUGCAGAUUUUGCAAACAAGAGACUGCCUUCUCUAACAGACAAGCCAGAAACACCCAUUCACAAGGUUUUUUCUCCUUUAGCGAACAAUUCUUGUUUCAGUCUCUAUUCUCAGCUCCCUGCCUGCAUUCAACAUUUGACUUCCAAGAAAAGACUUUCACUUGAUGAAGAUGGAAAACGGUGGUCCACCUCACUCCACUCUCCAGCAGUACCAGUGUCCCCAGUACAAAUGCCCACUGGUCAUGGGACUGAACUACGAGUCCUUCUGGACUCAAAACAACUCUGGACAGUUGACUGCAGCCGUGAAAUUAAAAGACGCUUACUCCCUGGAAGAAAAGCUAUGACAAACCUAGAUGGUAUAUUAAAAAGCAGAGAUAGCACUUUGCCGACCAGAAAAAGCUCUAACAACACGCAUACACGUGCACAAACACACACAUAUGCACACACACAAACAUUUCUUCAGCUCACCUUCAGAUGAUGUCAUUUACAUUCUAAAGUGACAAAAUUUUUAUCCAACCUAAAAGUGUUAAAAAUUUCUUCCUAAUUACUGAAACCAACAUUUUUUAAACGGAUAGAGUUUAGAUUAGGAAGCCAUGAAUCUAUCCCAUGAGCAUGCAGAAGUUCUCCUUGGGUACAUAUUGAUCCUUAGAAGCACAAUUUUAUUUUCUUGGACAAUUAAAGGGAGAUUAUACCACUGGGUCUAAGAAGAUGCUAUCACUUCUCAUCUCCUGGCAUCCAGCCGAUUGCUAUCUCAAUUUAAAACACCCUAAAGGUCAAUGCUUAUUUAGUUCCUUGCAAUAAUCUAUUUUGCCAUAACUUUGCUUUCCUAUUUAAUUCCCUUAUGUACAGCAGCAUUUUCCAACUCUAGUUUUGCAGAACAAGAGAUCCAUGAGGUGUUAAUAAGUAUCCCUAAUGAAAAAUAAAUGGUUGUAUAAGCAAAUACAUUUGGCAAAAGCUGGGCUGAAAACUUAAGGAGGUUUCUUUCAUGCAGGACUUCUCAGAGCCUUGAAUAUGCUAAUGUGUAGAGUGAACAGGAUCAGAGACAGCAGUUUGUAAUCUGCAGGUAAUUUAACAACAAUCCAUGUUAGCUUUUAUAAUUAUUAGCUACGACAAAUUCGAGGCUUUAAAUAUACAUGUUAAGAGUACCCUUCUUCCACAGACAAGCUCUCUGGAUUUUUUUUUUUCUUAAGUAAAACUUCAGUUUAUUCACAAGUGGGACCUGAUUAAAAGCUUUUGCACAGCAAAGGAAACUAUAAGCA
This 2053-nucleotide long non-coding RNA is filed under the name Capra hircus (goat). RNAcentral describes it as "lncRNA (ENSCHIG00010028266.1)". Lineage: Eukaryota; Metazoa; Chordata; Mammalia; Artiodactyla; Bovidae. The record is from RNAcentral.